Molecule: ribosomal RNA, 253 nt
Filed under: uncultured bacterium
Lineage: Bacteria
Description: partial 16S ribosomal RNA
Rfam family: Bacterial small subunit ribosomal RNA
Source: RNAcentral
UACGGAGGGUGCAAGCGUUAUCCGGAUUCACUGGGUUUAAAGGGUGCGUAGGCGGCUUUGUAAGUCAGUGGUGAAAUAUGGCAGCUCAACUGUCAAGGUGCCAUUGAUACUGCAGAGCUUGAGUACAGAUGAGGUAGGCGGAAUUGACGGUGUAGCGGUGAAAUGCUUAGAUAUCGUCAAGAACACCUAUAGCGAAGGCAGCUUACUAGGCUGUAACUGACGCUGAGGCACGAAAGUGUGGGGAUCAAACAGG